Molecule: ribosomal RNA, 254 nt
Filed under: uncultured bacterium
Lineage: Bacteria
Description: partial 16S ribosomal RNA
Rfam family: Bacterial small subunit ribosomal RNA
Source: RNAcentral
UACGAAGGGGGCUAGCGUUGCUCGGAAUCACUGGGCGUAAAGCGCACGUAGGCGGACUCUUAAGUCGGUGGUGAAAUCCUGGAGCUCAACUCCAGAACUGCCUCCGAUACUGGGAGCCUUCGAGUCCGGGAGAGGUGACUGGAACUGCGAGUGUAGAGGUGAAAUUCGUAGAUAUUCGCAAGAACACCAGUGGCGAAGGCGGCUCACUGGCCCGGUACUGACGCUGAGGUGCGAAAGCGUGGGGAGCAAACAGG